This 253-nucleotide ribosomal RNA is filed under the name uncultured bacterium. Its description in RNAcentral is "partial 16S ribosomal RNA". It matches the Rfam family "Bacterial small subunit ribosomal RNA", at positions 524 to 776 of the family's 1533-position model. The record is from RNAcentral.
UACGUAGGGGGCAAGCGUUGUCCGGAAUCAUUGGGCGUAAAGCGCGUGUAGGCGGUUCGGUAAGUCUGCUGUGAAAGUCCAGGGCUCAACCCUGGGAUGCCGGUGGAUACUGUCGGACUAGAGUACGGAAGAGGCGAGUGGAAUUCCCGGUGUAGCGGUGAAAUGCGCAGAUAUCGGGAGGAACACCAAUUGCGAAGGCAGCCCCCUGGGUCAACACUGACGCUCAUGCACGAAAGCGUGGGGAGCAAACAGG